This 253-nucleotide ribosomal RNA is filed under the name uncultured bacterium. Its description in RNAcentral is "partial 16S ribosomal RNA". It matches the Rfam family "Bacterial small subunit ribosomal RNA", at positions 524 to 776 of the family's 1533-position model. The record is from RNAcentral.
UACGGAGGUCUCAAGCGUUGUUCGGAUUCAUUGGGCGUAAAGGGUGCGUAGGUGGCGCCAUAAGUCGGGUGUGAAAUUUCGGAGCUCAACUCCGAAACUGCAUUCGAUACUGUGGUGCUUGAGGACUGGAGAGGAGACUGGAAUUCACGGUGUAGCAGUGAAAUGCGUAGAGAUCGUGAGGAAGACCAGUGGCGAAGGCGGGUCUCUGGACAGUUCCUGACACUGAGGCACGAAGGCCAGGGGAGCAAACGGG